GAUGAACGCUAGCUACAGGCCUAACACAUGCAAGUCGAGGGGCAUCGGGAGGGAAGCUUGCUUUCCUUGCCGGCGACCGGCGCACGGGUGAGUAACGCGUAUCGAACCUGCCCCCAUACCCGGGGAUAGCCCUUGCGAAAGUAAGAUUAAUACCCGAUGGUUUCCUUUUAUCUCCUGAUAUUAGGAAUAAAGAAUUUCGGUAUGGGAUGGCGAUGCGUCCGAUUAGCUUGUUGGCGGGGUAACGGCCCACCAAGGCGACGAUCAGUAGGGGUUCUGAGAGGAAGGUCCCCCCACAUUGGAACUGAGACACGGGUCCAAAACUCCUACGGGAGGCAGCAGUGAGGAAUAUUGGGUC
This 355-nucleotide ribosomal RNA is filed under the name uncultured bacterium. RNAcentral describes it as "bacterial SSU rRNA". It matches the Rfam family "Bacterial small subunit ribosomal RNA", at positions 28 to 370 of the family's 1533-position model. The record is from RNAcentral.